RNAcentral lists this ribosomal RNA (449 nucleotides) under uncultured bacterium. Its description in RNAcentral is "partial 16S ribosomal RNA". It matches the Rfam family "Bacterial small subunit ribosomal RNA", at positions 29 to 523 of the family's 1533-position model. The record is from RNAcentral.
AGUGAACGCUGGCGGCAGGCCUAACACAUGCAAGUCGAACGGAUCCUUCGGGAUUAGUGGCGGACGGGUGAGUAACGCGUGGGAACAUACCCUUUGGUACGGAAUAGCCUCGGGAAACUGGGAGUAAUACCGUAUGUGGUCGAGAGACGAAAGAUUUAUCGCCAAAGGAUUGGCACGCGUUGGUUUAGGUAGUUGGUGGGGUAUUGGCCUACCAAGCCGACGAUCCAUAGCUGGUUUGAGAGGAUGAUAAGCCACACUGGGACUGAGACACGGCCCAGACUCCUACGGGAGGCAGCAGUGGGGAUUCUUAGACAAUGGGGGAAACCCUGAUCUAGCCAUGCCGCGUGAUCGAUGAAGGCCUUAGGGUUGUAAAGAUCUUUCAGGUGGGAAGAUAAUGACUGUACCACCAGAAGAAGCCCCGGCUAACUCCGUGCCAGCAGCCGCCGUAA